UAGCAUAAUCAUUUGUUUUUUAAUUGAAAACUGGAAUGAAAGGUUAAACAAAGUAGGUUGUCUUUUUUUUAUAAUUAAAAAUUGUAUUUUAAGUAAAAAUACUUAAAUGAAAUUGAGGGACGAUAAGACCCUAAAAGCUUUAUUUGAAAUUAAAUAUGUUCAGGGUAGAGAAAAGAAAGUUUAGCUGGGGUAGUUUUUUUAUAAAAACUAAGGUUUUAGGUUACAAUAAAUGGGUAAGGGUCCUUUAUAUAAGGAUAAAUUGAGUAAGUUACUUUAGGGAUAACAGCGUAAUAAUUUUAGGGAGUUCGAAUUUAUAAGAUUGUUUGCGACCUCGAUGUUGAAUUAGAAAAAUCACAUAGAGCAGAAACUAUGGUGAUGGGUUUGUUCAACCUUUAUAAUUUUACAUGAUUU
This 411-nucleotide ribosomal RNA is filed under the name Paracallisoma sp. n. DZMB 2021_0094. Its description in RNAcentral is "partial 16S ribosomal RNA". It matches the Rfam family "Bacterial large subunit ribosomal RNA", at positions 1957 to 2606 of the family's 2925-position model. The record is from RNAcentral. Lineage: Eukaryota; Metazoa; Arthropoda; Malacostraca; Amphipoda; Scopelocheiridae.